GAUGAACGCUGGCGGCGUGCCUAAUACAUGCAAGUCGAGCGAACGGACGAGAAGCUUGCUUCUCUGAUGUUAGCGGCGGACGGGUGAGUAACACGUGGAUAACCUACCUAUAAGACUGGGAUAACUUCGGGAAACCGGAGCUAAUACCGGAUAAUAUUUUGAACCGCAUGGUUCAAAAGUGAAAGACGGUCUUGCUGUCACUUAUAGAUGGAUCCGCGCUGCAUUAGCUAGUUGGUAAGGUAACGGCUUACCAAGGCAACGAUGCAUAGCCGACCUGAGAGGGUGAUCGGCCACACUGGACCUGAGACACGGUCCAGACUCCUACGGGAGGCAGCAGUAGGGAAUCUUCCGCAAUGGGCGAAAGCCUGACGGAGCAACGCCGCGUGAGUGAUGAAGGGCUGCGGAUCGUAAAACUCUGUUAUUAGGGAAGAACAUAUGUGUAAGUAACUGUGCACAUCUUGACGGUACCUAAUCAGAAAGCCACGGCUAACUACGU
Molecule: ribosomal RNA, 496 nt
Filed under: uncultured bacterium
Lineage: Bacteria
Description: partial 16S ribosomal RNA
Rfam family: Bacterial small subunit ribosomal RNA
Source: RNAcentral